GCUCAACCGGGGAGGGUCAUUGGAAACUGGGGAACUUGAGUGCAGAAGAGGAGAGUGGGAUUCCACGUGUAGCGGUGAAAUGCGUAGAGAUGUGGAGGAACACCAGUGGCGAAGGCGACUCUCUGGUCUGUAACUGACGCUGAGGCGCGAAAGCGUGGGGAGCGAACAGGAUUAGAUACCCUGGUAGUCCACGCCGUAAACGAUGAGUGCUAAGUGUUAGAGGGUUUCCGCCCUUUAGUGCUGCAGCAAACGCAUUAAGCACUCCGCCUGGGGAGUACGGUCGCAAGACUGAAACUCAAAGGAAUUGACGGGGGCCCGCACAAGCGGUGGAGCAUGUGGUUUAAUUCGAAGCAACGCGAAGAACCUUACCAGGUCUUGACAUCCUCUGACAACCCUAGAGAUAGGGCUUCCCCUUCGGGGGCAGAGUGACAGGUGGUGCAUGGUUGUCGUCAGCUCGUGUCGUGAGAUGUUGGGUUAAGUCCCGCAACGAGCGCAACCCUUGAUCUUAGUUGCCAGCAUUCAGUUGGGCACUCUAAGGUGACUGCCGGUGACAAACCGGAGGAAGGUGGGGAUGACGUCGAAUCAUCAUGCCCCUUAUGACCUGGGCUACACACGUGCUACAAUGGGCAGAACAAAG
This 637-nucleotide ribosomal RNA is filed under the name uncultured bacterium. RNAcentral describes it as "bacterial SSU rRNA". It matches the Rfam family "Bacterial small subunit ribosomal RNA", at positions 607 to 1244 of the family's 1533-position model. The record is from RNAcentral.